AACGAACGCUAGCGGCAGGCUUAACACAUGCAAGUCGAACGGUUGUAGCAAUACAGCAGUGGCAGACGGGUGAGUAACACGUGGGAACCUUCCUAGGGGUACGGAACAACUCAGGGAAACUUGAGCUAAUACCGUAUACGUCCGUGAGGAGAAAGAUUUAUCGCCCUUAGACGGGCCCGCGUCGGAUUAGCUAGUUGGUGGGGUAACGGCCUACCAAGGCGACGAUCCGUAGCUGAUCUUAGAGGAUGAUCAGCCACACUGGGACUGAGACACGGCCCAGACUCCUACGGGAGGCAGCAGUGGGGAAUCUUGGACAAUGGGCGCAAGCCUGAUCCAGUCAUGCCGCGUGAGUGAAGAAGGCCUUCGGGUUGUAAAGCUCUGUCAUUAGGGACGAAAAUGACGGUACCUAAUGAGGAAGCCACGGCUAACUACGUGCCAGCCGCCGCCGUAA
This 451-nucleotide ribosomal RNA is filed under the name uncultured bacterium. Its description in RNAcentral is "partial 16S ribosomal RNA". It matches the Rfam family "Bacterial small subunit ribosomal RNA", at positions 29 to 523 of the family's 1533-position model. The record is from RNAcentral.